This 460-nucleotide ribosomal RNA is filed under the name uncultured bacterium. RNAcentral describes it as "partial 16S ribosomal RNA". It matches the Rfam family "Bacterial small subunit ribosomal RNA", at positions 338 to 795 of the family's 1533-position model. The record is from RNAcentral.
CCUACGGGAGGCAGCAGUGAGGAAUAUUGGGCAAUGGACGAGAGCCUGAACCAGCCAAGCAGCGUGAAGGAUGACUGCCCUAUGGGUUGUAAACUUCUUUUAUAAAGGAAUAAAACGAGGCACGUGUGCCCUUUUGCAUGUACUCUAUGAAUAAGCAUCGGCUAACUCCGUGCCAGCAGCCGCGGUAAUACGGAGGAUCCGAGCGUUAUCCGGAUUUAUUGGGUUUAAAGGGAGCGUAGAUGGGUUGUUAAGUCAGUUGUGAAAGUUUGCGGCUCAACCGUAAAAUUGCAAUUGAUACUGGCAGGCUAGAGUACAGUAGAGGUAAGCGGAAUUCGUGGUGUAGCGGUGAAAUGCUUAGAUAUCACGAAGAACCCCGAUUGCGAAGGCAGCUUGCUAGACUGUAACUGACGUUGAUGCUCGAAAGUGUGGGUAUCAAACAGGAUUAGAUACCCGGGUAGUC